Molecule: small nucleolar RNA, 84 nt
Organism: Cricetulus griseus (Chinese hamster)
Lineage: Eukaryota; Metazoa; Chordata; Mammalia; Rodentia; Cricetidae
Gene: SNORA63
Rfam family: Small nucleolar RNA SNORA63
About the family: E3 belongs to the H/ACA class of snoRNAs and is involved in the processing of eukaryotic pre-rRNA and has regions of complementarity to 18S rRNA.
Source: Ensembl
AAAAGAGGUUGUCAAGACAAUGUUUCUUAUCUCUACCAGUCUGCUAUACAUCUGUAGCAGCCAGGGAUAUUUGACAUCAUAUAU